UCGGGUCUUUAUCGGGUCUCAAUAACAUUGUAAUGGCCGGUAACUGGAGAGUUCUGUGGGUCUUUAUCAGGUCUCAAUAACACUGUAAUGGCCGGUAACUGGAGGGCUGUGUUGGGUCUUUAUCAGGUCUCAAUAACACUGUAAUGGCCGGUAACUGGAGGGCUGUGUUGGGUCUUUAUCAGGUCUCAAUAACACUGUAAUGGCCGGUAACUGGAGGGUUGUGUGGGUCUUUAUCAGGUUUGAAUAACACUGUAAUGACCAGUAACUGGAGGGUUGUGUUGGGUCUUUAUCAGGUCUCAAUAACACUGUAAUGGCCGGUAACUGGAGGGUUGUGUUGGGUCU
This is a long non-coding RNA of Brienomyrus brachyistius, 342 nucleotides long. RefSeq lists it as uncharacterized. The record is from RefSeq and is a predicted model, not a curated record. The transcript is spliced from 3 exons. NCBI's taxonomy places the organism in Eukaryota, Metazoa, Chordata, Actinopteri, Osteoglossiformes, Mormyridae.